This 2958-nucleotide long non-coding RNA is filed under the name Lactuca sativa (garden lettuce). Its description in RNAcentral is "long non-coding RNA (LSAT_LNC000556)". Lineage: Eukaryota; Viridiplantae; Streptophyta; Magnoliopsida; Asterales; Asteraceae. The record is from RNAcentral.
AGUAAUGUAUUGAAACAAAUGAACUCAUAUUCGUUUCUUCAUGAUACUCAACACUUCUAUCGCUUCUGUUGACUAAGUAAGGUUCUUUUUAUUAGUCUUCAUGCACACUUUGCCUCCUAACCUCUAUUUUUUCGAUCUCUAACCACACAACCUGUCAUCUACCACUGAAUAAUGCAUCCCGAAACCUUUCUGAUUAACAACUGCCACAGCUCCUUCUCGUUCAUAGAGUUGGGGAAAUUAGAAAAAUGAAAAGUAUAACAAAAUAUGAUCCAUUGAUUUACACGAUCUACUAAACUUCCUUCCUUCUCUUAAUUGAUCGAUCUUUGUAGAAGAAAUUUGCCAUCCUCCCUCCUGGUUGCACUGUUUCUUACCUGAUUGAAAUCUUUUCAUAAAGAUUCCCCUGUUAUUGGAUUGAAGAAAGCUCACUCAUACUCCUAAUAACACCUAUCAAAUUCCCCUGAAGCAAUCUGGUAAGCCUCCUGAUGAAACAUGAAACUUCUGUAUAUAUAACUUCCUCUUUCCAACAGAAUUAGCCAUAGAAACACAGUAGUCCUACGUAUUGGGUACAGAAACGAUUGAAAUAAUAUUAAAACUGGAAUUNNNNNNNNNNNNNNNNNNNUAAUAGGAGACACUGAAAAUGGUGUGCUAUAAUAAACAAAUCAAUGAAACACGUUGCUAUUUCUUGCAUUUAAACCUUAAGAGUCAGUCAAAGAUGGUAUUCAUGAGCAUUCAAACCUUGAAAAUGAAUCAAAGCACGCAUAUAGGCACACAAGUCCCUGGUCUAUUGCAUAGAAUCUGUGAAAAGAAUUUAGCAUGCUCUUCAAAGUUAUUGAAACAAAGAAACAAACAAGACUAAAUUACAAAAAUCGUCUCUAUGUUAUAUUACUUUUUAUGCGUAUGGUCAAGUCGAUGGAUUUAAUGGACGGGCAACCAGGGACUAAAAGUGUGACCAAAUGUUGGUUUAGGGAUGGAAAAGGUAAAUGAUGAAACUAUCAGACCAUAUCGAUCGCAUUUUCAACUUAUUUUGUUAUUAGGACAUAAUACUUUGAAGAAUCUAUCCAAUUAUAAUAGUGAAACUUGCAUUGUAUCGGGAUGAUAUUGCUACAAUUAAUAGGUUUUCAAAGUAUAUUGCGGUAAUACGCAUGAAUGAAAUUAGGAUGCUAUUAGAAAACAGAUCAAAAUUUUGUUUCUUAGAUUUAGCCCUAAUUAGUAAAAUGAAAAACUUGAAUUGUUUGAGAUAUAAACAAGAUACAAAUUACACAUACUCGACAUUUUAAAAUGAACAGGUUACAACACAUUAAAUAACAAUGUGAUAUGCAUUUAUACCACUUAUCAAUUGGUGAGUCCUCAAAGACACAUUCUUUCUGAACAUCAAUGCUAUAACUAACUGUUACAUUUUUCAAAGUAAAAUGCCCUAAGAAAGAAACGGAAGUACCUUGCUAUCAUCAUAAAACCAAAGUCAUUUGAAGUUGCUAAAAGGUUUGGUAUGUAUAAAUAGUCCCGUGCUUCAUUAGAAGAAUUGGAACUUACCAGUGGAUUUACAAGAAGGAAUUGAGAUUAUAGAAAACAUUACAUAAAUAGUCCCAUGCAUCAUUGGAAGUCAUAUAUAGGUUAAAUCAUUAACUUUUUUCCUUGAUGAAAAUGGUCUUUGUGGUUUCAAUUCCUUACAUGGUUUGUUUCUAAUCCAUAUAAAAUGAUAUCUAUAUAUACCAUUUUAAUAGAUUUAUCUUUUUUUUUUUACUUAAUUUUAUUUUUUAAUAUGUUAACAUUGAGGGACCCACCAUACCAAACAGUUCACACACCUAUGUUCACCAGAAAGAUUACCAAAGUUAUAUUCAAGCUUAGAAAAUUACAAGAAAUUAAGGUUGUAUACAACAGUAAGAAUAAAAAAAAAAACUCCAACAAGAAAGAAACUAUCUCUUUUCUGAUCAUUUUGAGGUCUCUAAAAAUCUGAAAGCUGCAUAACUUUCAGAUUAUUGGGUUCAUCGGUAACAGAAUAUCUAAAAUUUGUUGUAGAAUAAUUUGUAUCACAAUAAAAGUGGUGCAUCAAGUUGCAGGUAUAAUUAUCUUAUUCCACUUACUAAAAGCAUGGAAAUGGAAUAUUUGGUUUAUAAAAAGAGUCCCAGAAGAAUAUACUAUAUAGCUCAGAUAAAAAUCUCCCCAAUCACCUGGAUAGACAAUACCAUAUGAACCAAUGUAAAAAACAGCAUAAGCAUUUCAUCAAAUACCUUGACUACGUGAUGUAAGAUGACCACAUUCGCCAAAAAAACACAAUGAAAGAAGGAAAAUUUUAGGAACAUAAUCAAGUAUAACAUUCUAAAGAUUGAGAACUGAAUUAAAAAAACAUCAUCAUAAUAAUAAUAAUGAAAUAAACCAAAACAAAGACAAUGUAACUUGAAAGAUUUAUAUAAAGCUCUGUUAUAUCUACUGACGGAAUAAGAAAUUGAGGAGGAGGAUGAUGGAAGUACAAGAUCUAACCAUGACAAAUGAACAAUGAGCGUUGGUUUGGAGAUGUUUCUGUCUAAUUUCCAAUACGGGUGAUUUUAAGAAGGCCUUCGAACACCUCACAUUAUUUCUUAUUCAAAUUUUGAUCCGGAAUGUCUAAUAAAGAUACCAUGGAAAGAUGAUCCGUUAGAAACAAUAAAUGUGGCUCUCGGAGCAGCGCGGUGGAGCAACUGAGCGCAAUAUGAAGCAUUGCCCUCGACCACUACCAGAAGUCAGGAAUUGAGUUUGAUUGUGCUUCUAGCCCUUGAACAUCGCUAUCUGAAAUUGGGAAUUGGGGACGAAUUUCAGGGAGAAAUUAGAAUUGAAGCAACGUCAGAAUGUGGGAUCGUGGAAAAAUAUACUUCACCUGUGUGAGAGCGAGGCGAGAGUGUUGCCGAUUCAACAAUGUUGUAACAUGAUAUUCAUUAUUUAGUAGGUUUGGUUCACGAUUAUUUUGGAUGGAAUUUGAAUUUG